Long non-coding RNA from Vigna radiata var. radiata (mung bean), 1167 nucleotides. RefSeq lists it as uncharacterized. The record is from RefSeq and is a predicted model, not a curated record. The transcript is spliced from 2 exons. NCBI's taxonomy places the organism in Eukaryota, Viridiplantae, Streptophyta, Magnoliopsida, Fabales, Fabaceae.
UAUCCACUGGGCCAAAGUAAAAUACAUCCAAAGGCGGAAUUCUAUAAUGGGCAGAACGCAAUUGUGGCUGUCAAUGUACAUCUAGGAUACAAUCAAGAAGAUUCCUUGGUGAUGAAUCUGGCUUCAUUGCAGCGUGGUAUGUUCAGAUCUGAGCACAUAAGGAGUUACAAAUCUGAAAUUGAUAAUAAGGAUUCUUCAGAGAAGAAGCGCAAACCUGAAGGCAAUAUAAAUUUUGGAAAGCUUCAAAGUAAAAUUGGUCGAGUUGAUAGCCUUGAUGAUGAUGGCUUUCCAUAUGUUGGGGCAAAUUUGCAAAGUGGUGAUAUUAUUAUUGGGCGGUGUGCUGAGUCUGGUGCAGACCAUAGUGUGAAGUUAAAGCACACUGAAAGAGGUUAUGUACAAAAGGUUGUGCUGUCUUCAAAUGACGAGGGAAAAUUUUUUGCUGCGGUUUCAUUGAGACAGGUACGAAACUGGUAAAGAUGCUUAGGUCCGAAACUAUAGGAAAAUUUUCCUUUCACUAGACAAGCAUUGUUCCUGAUAUUGUCAUUAAUCCGCAUGCCUUUCCCUCGCGACAAACUCCUGGCCAACUCCUAGAGGCUGCUUUAGGAAANGGGAUUGCUUGUGGUGGUAAACUGAGACAUGCUACGCCUUUUUCCACUCCUUCUGUUGAUGCCAUUACUGACCAGCUUCACAGAGCUGGGUUUUCAAGAUGGGGAAACGAGAGGGUAUACAAUGGAAGGACUGGUGAGAUGGUCCGAUCACUCAUUUUUAUGGGACCAACGUUUUACCAACGUCUGCAUCAUAUGUCUGAAGACAAGGUGAAAUUCCGCAACACCGGUCCUGUUCACCCUUUGACCCGACAGCCUGUAGCUGACAGAAAACGAUUUGGAGGUAUCAAGUUUGCCAGGAGCUCUUUAGCAUGGGCAUAAAUCUUAAAUUUGAAACCCAACUUUGCUAGACGGAACUAUUAACAUGUAUCUUUUGUUCGUUUCCUUGACUUUGUUCGGUGUAGAUAUCACUUGAUGUUUUCUUGAAUGCUUUAGUCAGAUAGGAGAAUAUCAUCAUUUCCGAGCNUUAAUUUCUUUUAGUAUGUACAUAUAUCACUUUGAUUUGUGCAUGUUUUCUUGAAAACCAACUAAUUGGGAGUAUUGCUUGAUAUCCUGAGCCUAA